AUUGGUAAUGGUGAGAGGUUAGCAUGUUUUGUUGUAGUCUCUGUUAUUGGUAAUGGUGAGAGGUUAGCAUGUUUUGUUGUAGCCUCUGUUAUUGGUAAUGGUGAGAGGUUAACAUGUUUUGUUGUAGUCUCUGUUACUGGUAAUGGUGAGAGGUUAGCAUGUUUUGUUGUAGUCUCUGUUAUUGGUAAUGGUGAGAGGUUAGUAUGUUUUGUUGUAGCCUCUGUUAUUGGUAAUGGUGAGAGGUUAGCAUGUUUUGUUGUAGCCUCUGUUAUUGGUAAUGGUGAGAGGUUAGCAUGUUUUGUUGUAGCCUCUGUUAUUGGUAAUGGUGAGAGGUUAGUAUGUUUUGUUGUAGUCUCUGUUAUUGGUAAUGGUGAGAGGUUAGCAUGUUUUGUUGUAUCCUCUGUUAUUGGUAAUGGUGAGAGGUUAGCAUGUUUUGUUGUAGUCUCUGUUAUUGGUAAUGGUGAGAGGUUAGCAUGUUUUGUUGUAGACUCUGUUAUUUAUUAUCUAGAUCUUUUUUAAUCAUGGCAUCCUCAAAUCAAAUCAAAUCAAAUUUUAUUUGUCACACACAUGGUUAGCAGAUGUUAAUGCGAGUGUAGCGAAAUGCUUGUGCUUCUAGUUCCGACAAUGCAGUAAUAACGAGCAAGUAAUCUAACUAACAAUUCCAAAAAAAAACUACUGUCUUAUACACAGUGUAAGGGGAUAAAGAAUAU
Long non-coding RNA from Oncorhynchus tshawytscha (Chinook salmon), 710 nucleotides. NCBI's taxonomy places the organism in Eukaryota, Metazoa, Chordata, Actinopteri, Salmoniformes, Salmonidae. The record is from Ensembl.